This 3448-nucleotide long non-coding RNA is filed under the name Pan troglodytes (chimpanzee). RNAcentral's name for it is "long non-coding RNA NONPTRT003756". The record is from RNAcentral. Lineage: Eukaryota; Metazoa; Chordata; Mammalia; Primates; Hominidae.
UUCGGUAGGAGCUUUUCACCAUCAGUUUUUAGAAAGUACGCAUGACUCUCCUUCUGUUGAUAUCUCUCUUGAUUUGGCAAAGAGUACAAGGAGGACCGCAAAGGGUUGCCAUAUAAUCAUCACAAAUAGAUCCAGGGAUACCAUAUCAGGUCCUGUAGAGUCCUCAUUGCGACGCUUGCUCCACACAGCAUUCAUUCAUAUCAGCUGCAACUUGACACCCAAGGCACGGGAGACAAUACGUGCCACAGAGACAGACUCCACAGUCGCUGAAGCAGUCACACAUGCCUGUCUGCCAGUUGGAGUUCUGGGGUGCCGGACCGAGACCGACUCCCACAACGACCAUCAGCACCUCAUGUGUUAAUUUUUUAAGACACCUAAUUAGAGCCUCAUUCCUUGCACCUCCCCCUUUUAAGCAAAUGGAGCAGAGGCCGCUGUACCCCCCAGCGAGAGCUGCUUGCCUCUAUUAAGGGGAGAUGCGGCAUGGGCGUUAUUUCUCCUUUUUAAGGCAGCAGGCACUUCCUUUACCGUCAUUGCCAGGCAGGUUACUCCUCUGAGCAAAUCAGCGGCAAUGAUGAGUGUGAGAUGCAGAUCCUUGUCCAUGCGCGCUUCGUGUGUCCUGCGUGCUGUCUCUCUGCUGUCACCACAGGGGGCCAGAUUGGCUGUGCAGCCUCUGCACAUGCAGCAGCUCCGAAAGCUGAAACACCACCAGCAGCAAAAAGCUGUGCAGCCCUCGGCCGCCCCAGGCCUGCUGCUGCACAGCGGAAGUGGGCAACAGAUUUGAGCAGACACUCCACCAAAGAAGCUCUCUAGGUGGCAAAUAAGCACUGUCCUCUGGGAAAUGCAAAUAAAAAUCACAAUGAGAAACUACUGCACACCCGUGAGAAUGCCUUUAAAAAAAAAAGACAAGACCAAAACCAAGUGUUAGUGAGGGUGUGGAACAACAGAAAUUCUCAUACCUUGUUGGUGGAACUACAAGAUAGUGGAGCCCUCUGGAAUCAGUUUGGCAGUUUCUUAUAAAAUAAAACAAUCAUUUACUGUAUGACCCAGCAAUCCCGCCCCUCAUUCUUUAUACCAGAGAAAUGAAGACAUAUGUCCACACAAUAACCAAAUACUGUAACCACAAUGAAAAAUGAUGCAAGUGUUCACAGAAGCUUUAUUCAUUUACCUAAAACUGAAAGCAACCCAGACACUCUUCAACUGGCCAAUGGGUAAACAAACGGCAGCCCACCAGUUCCAUAAAACAGCACUCAGCAGGAGACAGGACUGGGCCACUGAUGCUGGGGGCAGCGGGGAUAAGCCUGAAAUGUCUUAUGCAGAGUGAAAGAGGCCACACUUAGAAGGCUGCAGUUUUUGUUUUUAUAUAUGACAUUCUGGAAAAGGCAACACUAUAGCGACAGAGAAGAGCUCUGCGGUCACGAGGGGCUGGGGCGGUGGAAGGACUGACUUUCAAAGGGACAAGAGGGAAUUCUUGGGGGCUGUGGAAAGAUUCUGUAUCUUGAUGCUGAUGGUUGUUACAUGGCUGUGUGCAUUGAUCAAAACUGAAGUAUGCAUCAGAAACAGCGACUUGGACUGUAUGUAAAUUAUACUGCAGUUUUUUUGUUUCUUUGUUUGUUUGUUUUUGAGACGGAGUCUGGCUGUGUUGCCCAGGCUGGAGUGGAGUGAUAUCGGCUCACUGCAAGCUCUGCCUCCCAGGUUCAUGUCAUUUUCCUGCCUCAGCCUCCCAAGUAGCUGGGACCACAGGUGUCCACCACCAUGCCUGGCUAAUUUUUUUGUAUUUUUAAUAGAGACAAGGUUUCACCGUGUUAGCCAGGGUGGUCUCGAUCUCCUGACCUUGUGAUCUGCCCACCUCGGCCUCCCAAAAUGCUGGGAUUACAGGCAUGAGCCACCGUGCCCAGCCUAUACUGCAGUUUUAAAAAACUUAAUGGAAGGGUUAAACAAUACAUUAGAUAAUUUGUGAGCUGCAGAGAGAUCUGGAGAAAUAAUCAUGGUAGCAUGAGACUAGCAAACAAGACAAAGAAGACAGGCUGGCUGCAGUGCUCAGGCCUGUAACCCCAGCACUUUGGGAGGCCAGUGUGGGUGGCUUGUUUGAGCCAAGCAGUUCAAGACCAGUCUGAGCAACAGAGCGAGGCCCCGUCUCUGCAAAAAAAUAAGAAAAGAAGAGGGAGGGGUGAGAAAAUCUCACAUUCAACUGAGUUCCAGAAGAGAAUGAAAAAAGAAAAUAUUCAAAGAGUGGAUGGCUGAGAAUUUUCCAGAAUGGGUUUAACUUACCAGUCUAAAGACUGAAGAAAUACAACAAGUCCCUAGCGGGAUACAGACAAAGAUACCUGUGCCUGACACAUCUGGGCAAACUGUGGCACUCAAAGCAGAUGAGAAAACCAUGAAAGAAUCCAGGAGGAAAACAGAUUUCUCACGAAGAAAAGGCGAUUCCAUGGACAGCUCCCUUCUUAGUAGGAACUGUGGAAACCAGAAGUAGCUUUAAAGUGCUGGGAUAAAACUGUCUUUCAAGGGUAAGAGUGAAAACAAAGACAUACUCAGACAAAAACUGAAAACAUUUACCACAAACAAACUCACCUUAAGAAGGCAAAUGGCCCUCGAUGUGGAAAGCAAAGCUCAGGGGACAGAGGGUGUGCUGAAGAGUUGGCGGUGAUGCUCCCUGGAGGGUCCCCCCAGGGCCAAGGGGGGGCCUGGGAGCCGUGCAUGGUGAGACUGGAGUGUGAGCUUGAGGACAGCAAGAAUCAGACGACCACCCCAGGCUGCCAGGGUGUGGCUCAGCCUAUCUGCCCCUCACGCUGAGCUGCACAGAUGCAAAGACCUUCCAAACACAGUCACGAGGCCUUAGGAACGUCUCCAGAGCUUCCAUCAUCAUCCGGGUCUCCUCGUCAGCUGCUGCCUGGUGAGGGCUCUGCCAGAGGACAGCCCUGAGUGCUGCUAUCAAGGCUGAGGAGGCCACCCCCACGUGCCACCCACGAAGCUGCCUGCAGGCCGGGAGGCUUCUCUUCUGGCUUCAGCCACAUGUGAAGGAGAACCUGUCAAGCUCCAGCUGAUGAAGUCUUCAGAAGGGCUCAGAGUCAAGCGGCAGAACUCCUGGUGCCAUCUGCUUAAUUACGGGCGUGGGUUUUCCUCAGUGUUUUGAUCUAUAAAUACGAAAAAUAAGAACAGCACCAGUGCUGAAUCUAUGUCAUCCCAUGAAUGGAUGAACUGGUUGAAAAAAAAAAUAGCCUGAUGUUGGGAGCCAAAAAGGCCGAAGGGAUCAUGACCAACUCAGCAUUCCACUGGAGGCUAUAUGAUCAAUCAGCAAACUGUUUAUCCUGAAUGUAGGAUGUGAGUAAAACUCACAGCUGCGCCUGCUGCCAGAAGGUUUGCUGAGGGCGGUCACUCCCUGGCACUGGGGUCCUUGAAGUUAUCUACUGGAAAAUCUAGCGCCUGUUGUUCGAAGGAUGCAGUCUCG